RNAcentral lists this long non-coding RNA (952 nucleotides) under Homo sapiens (human). RNAcentral's name for it is "non-protein coding lnc-EIF5-1:2". The record is from RNAcentral. Lineage: Eukaryota; Metazoa; Chordata; Mammalia; Primates; Hominidae.
CGAUGCCAAUACAGGACACCCCUGCAGAGGCAGUUGCAGGGGGCUCCCUAAAGCCAGCUUAUAACCAGGAACCAAAAAUAGGGCUUGGCACGAGGAGGGGAAGAGGGGUGUGUGUCUCAAUGAGGGGAAUGGCAACAUCUCUUUGUGCUCUACAGGUUUAAAAAACAAAAUGGCCAAGGCUCUCCCCAGGUGUCGAUGGGGUGGGAGGCAUGGCCCAACUCCUGAAGAUGUCAUGGCACAGUGGGCAGCCACCAUGGGGAAUCCGGCCGGGAUGACAGAGACAGCCCUGCAGCACGGCACUGCUCAUAGUGGGGCCAGGCCCUGGAGGAGUCUCCUGAAGCCACAAACAUACAUAGUCCGCACCCUCCCCUGCCCCAAACUCAGCGUGUAGCAGAUCAACCUCUGUACUAUCAGCCAAGCCAAUACAACAAGCACAGUGAUUGUGGACUACUCCCCAAGAACAAAACAUCGAAGAACAGCCAAGCUAGCACGCUGGCUCACGCCUGUAAUCCUAGCACUUUUCAAGGCCGAGGCAGGCGGAUCCCUUGAGCCCAGGAGUUCGAGACCAGCCUUGGCAACAUGAUGAAACCCUGUUUCUACAAAAGGCACAAAAAUUAGCUAGGCGUUGUGGGAGGAUCACUUGAGCCAAGGAGGUAGAGUUUGCAGUGAGCCUUGAUCGCACCCUGAACUCCAGCAUGGGUAACAGAGCAAGACCCUGUCUCUAAUAAAUAAAUAAAUGAAAAUAACAGCCAUUCAUCAGAACAGCCAUUCAUCAGAACAGCCAUUCAUCCCGGCUCUCAGCACCUCCAAUCUGCACCCUGUACUGGUCAGCCCAAGCUAUUCUAGAGAGUGCUACCCCACAAGUCUCCCUAAGCAGUCUGACCAUAAUUACAGCUAAAGAUAGGUGCCUCUGAUACUUCAUAUACUGUGCCAGGGGAAUCCCACAAUUUAC